This is a non-coding RNA of Rattus norvegicus (Norway rat), 4767 nucleotides long. NCBI's taxonomy places the organism in Eukaryota, Metazoa, Chordata, Mammalia, Rodentia, Muridae. The record is from RefSeq and is a predicted model, not a curated record.
UAAAUGACAUUUUUAUAUACUCUUAUUUUUAAAAAUUAACUAGCAAAUAUUAUUUUGCAUUAUUCUAGGUAGAAAUGAUCAUCUAGCAAUCUUAUUUCUACAUAUGAGAUUGGCAGAGGACUAUUUUAUUUUUUAAAACUCCAUUUAUUUCUUCUCCCAAUGUAAUCCAUUAUACUUUCUCAUACUGGUAUCUUGCCACAGAGAGUCCAUAAAUAUACGUGUCUGUUUUCAGUUUAUUUGUUUGAAUUAUGAGCCUAAAAUAGUGUUAGUGCCACAGCAUUUUGAACUUCUGAUCAUUAUUCUCUGAAAUGAAAUUCAGCUUAGGUGCAGGAAAAGUAAUAGAACCCGGAGCUUUCAGCUAAAAUGAAAACACUGUGAAGUAACAAUAACAGGAAAAAGGAGAUCACAAAUUCUAGAAAUUGUGAGGCGAGGUACGUACAGGUAAGGUGCUGGUGCGAGGAAAGGGAAGGGCAAGAAAUGACACGAUUAUGUUUUAACUAAAAAAUAAAAAAGUAACACAAUUAAUUUUAAGCUAACUAACUAAAUAAUAGGAAGGAUAUAAGGACCAUUAAUAUCAGAAACCAAUCCUAACAUGGUAAGAAGCUAAAUAGGUCACUGGUGGUUGCCAUGACCUGCUCAGCCAUGGUGACCAGAAAAGGAAGUGAUAGGAGAAAGUAACACAACUUCAGUUUCUCUUCAAGAAUGAACAAUUUUUACCCCACCAUAGUUUAUAAAAAGCUUAGCUAACUUAGUAGGAUAGCACUGAAACAGAGAUUAAGCAGAGUAUGUGACACCCUUAACUAAAUUAUCCCUUCUGCAUUCCCCCAACCCAGGUGGACAUGUUUUGCCUAGGAGAACAUUUCUUCCAGGCUUCCUCUCUUGUCUGAAGUUUUCCACGUUCAUGGGGCCACAAAUGGAUUAUGGUUUAUGCUUGAGAAAGAAACUGCAGACUAUCUGGACCUUAAGAGGGAUUUGAACUUCUUGUCCUGCAGAUCUUUCACUUGCUUGGUAAGAGUAACACCAAGAUAUUUUAUAUUACUUGUGACUAUUGCGAAGGGUACCACUUCCCUAAUUUCUUUAUCAGCCUGUUUAUCAUUUGUCUAAAGGAAGGUUACUGAUUUCUUUGAAUUAAUUGUUAUAUCUUGCCACUUUGCUGAAGUUGUUUAUCAGCUGUAGAAGCUCUCUGGUGGAAUGUUGGGGGUCCUUAUGUAUACUAUCAUAUCAUCUGCAAAUAGAGAUACUUUGAUUUCUUCCUUUUUAAUUUGUAUCCCCUUGAUCUCCUUUUGUUGUCUAAUUUCUAUAGCUAGAACUUCAAACAUUAUAUUGAAUAGAUAGGGAGAGAGUGGGCAUUCUUGUCUUGUCCCAGAAUUUAGUGGGAUUACUUAUAGUUUGCUAUAUAUUGUUUUUAUUAAGUUUAGGUUUGUGUCAUGACUUCAUGGUCUCUCCAAGCCUUUUAACAAAAAGGGGUGUUGUAAUUUAUCAAAGGUUUUUUCAGCAUUUAAUGAGAGUAUCAUGUGGUUUUUUCCUUGAGUUUGUUUAUAUAGUGUAUUACAUUGUCGGAUUUUCACAUAUUGAACAAUCCCUGCAUUCUUGGGAUGAAGCCUACUUGGUCUUGGUGAAUGAUGGUUUUGAUAUGUUCUUGGAUUCAGUUUGCAAAUCUUAUUGAGUAUUUUUGCAUUAUAUUCAUAAGAGAAAUUGGUCUUUUUUGUUGGGUCCUAGUGUGGUUUAAGAAUCAGAGUAAUUGUGGCUUCAUAGAAUGAAUUAGGUAGUGUUCCUUCUGUUUGCAUUUUGUGGAAUAGUUUGAGAGGUAUUGGUAUUGGCUCUUCUUUGAAGGUCUGGUAGAAUUCUGAGAAUUCUGCAUUAAAACCAUCUGGCCCUGGACUUUUUUUUUCCUUUUUGGUUGUGACAUUUUAAAUGACUAUUUCUAUUUUCAUAGUGGUCAUUGGACUUGUUUAGAUCAUUUUCCUGAUCUUGAUUUAACAUUAGUACAUGGUAUCUAUUUAAUCAUCUAUUUAAUCAAGAUUUGCAAGUUUUGUAGAGUAUACACUUUUGAAGUAAUUUCUGAAGAUUUUUUUAAUUUCCUCAGUUUCUGUCAUUAAGAGUCAGUUUUUAUUGCUGAUUUUCUCUAAUUUGGAUACUGUCUCUGUGCACUUUAACUAGUUUGGCUAAGGGUUUGUCUAUCUUGUUGGUUUUAUCAAAGAACCAGCACUAAGUUUUGUUGAUUCUUUGUAUCAUUCUGUUUGUUUUAUAAAUGGUUGAUUUCAGCCCUGAGUUUGACUAUUUGCUACUGUCUACUCCUCUUGGGUGUGUUUGCUUCUUUUUGUUCUAUAGCUUUCAGAUGUGCUUUUAUGUUGCUUUUAUGGGAUCUCUCUAAUUUUUUAUGGAGUCUUCACAGAUAUAGAAAGAACAAUUUUCAACUUCACGUGGAAAAACCAAAGAUGCAGGAGAGCCAAAACAAUUCUCAACAAAAAAGAUCUUUUGGGGGGAAUCACCAUCCCUGAUCUCAAGCUACAAAGCAUUAGUGAUAAAAACUGCAUGGUAGUACUGCAGAGAGAGAGAGAGACAGGUUGAUUAAUGGAGUAAAAUGGAUGACCUAGAAGUAAACCCACACUGAUCUUUGAUAAGGAAGCCAAAAGCAAAUGGUAGAGAAAAAGAAAGCAUCUUCAAUAAAUGAUGCUUGUUCAACUGAUAUUCUGUAUGCAGAAGAAUGAGAAUCGAUCCAUAUUUAUCACCUUGCACAAAGGUCAAGUCCAAGUGGAUCAAGGACUUCAGUGUAAAACGAGAUACACUGAAUGUAAUAGAAGAGAAAGCGGAAAAAGCCUUGACUCAUUGGCAUAGGGGAAAAUUUCCUGAACAAAACACCAAUGGCUCAGCCUCUAAGGUCAACAACUGAUAAAUGGGACCUCAUGAAACCAAGAAGUUUCUGUAAGGCAAAAGGCACUACUGUCAAUAGGAUGAAUUAGCAACUUACAGAUUAGUAAAAAAUCUUCACUAAUGCUAAAUUUGAGCUCGGUUUAACAUGCAAAAUUUAUAUAAAAAAACUCAAGAAACUAACCUCUAAAAACCAAAUAAACCAAUUUAAAAACGGGGUACAGAGCCAAACUGAAUUCACAACAGAAGAAUCUCAAAGGGCCAAGAAGCAAUUAAAGAAGUUUUCAAAGUCCUCAAUGAUCAGAAAAAUGCAAAUCAAAAUGACCUGAGAUUCCACUUGACACUAAUCAGAAUGGCUAAAAUCAAAACCUCAGGUGACAGCACAUGGUUGGCAAGGAUGAGAGAAAGGAGAAUGCUCCUCCAUUGCUAAUGGAAUUGCAAACUGGUACACCCACUCUGGAAACCAAUCUGGAGGUUCCUCAGAAAAUUGGAAAUAGUUCUACAUUAAGACCCAGCUAUAUUACUCUUGGGCAUAUGCCCAGAAGAUGUUGCAUCACACCAUAAGAAUAUGUGCUUCACCAUCUUCAUAGCAACCUUAUUUGUAAUUGCUAUAAUCUACAAAGAACCCAGAUGUCCCCCAACUGAAGAAUGGAUACAGAAAAUGUGGUUCAUUUACACAAUGGAAUACUAUCCAGCUAUAAAAAAUGAGGACACUGUGAAUUUUGCAGGCAAAUGGAUGGAACUAGAAAAUAUCAUCUUGAGUCAGACCCAAAAAGAGAUGCAUGGUAUGUACUAACUGAUAAGUGGAUAUUAGCCAAAACCCACAAAAUGCCUAGUAUACCCACAGACUAUAAGAAGUGUUAACAAGCAGAAAGGCCCAUGUGAGCAUGUUUCAAUACCACUUAGAAGGGGGAAGGAAAUAAUUAUGGGAAGGAGAGGGAAGGAGGGAUCUGGUUGGGAGAAAGCAGGGGAUGAGAAGAACAGUAUGAGCUACAGGUGGGAUAAGAGAGAAGCACGCAUGACCAAGAGAAUGAAUGGAAAUAAGCAGCUUCAGGGGUUGUGAAGUGGGAGUUACCCUCAAGAAAGUAACACAGGCCCAGGAGUUGAGAAACUCUCAGGACUCAAUGGAGGUGUCCUUAGAAUAAAUGCCCAUUAAAUGGGGAGAGUGAACUCAGAGUCUACGUCCAGUAGGUAGACAAGGCCUCAAGUAGAGUGACUGGAUUACCAACCCAAAGUCAAAACUUCUGACCAAGAAUUCUUCCUAUCUAAAAGAAAUACAGGGACAAAAAUGGAGAAGAAAUUGGAGGAAAGGCAUUCCAGUGACUAUCCCAUCUAUCCCUUGGGGGAGCACCAAGGCCUGACACUAUUACUGAUGCUAUGAUGUGCUUAAAGAUGGGGACCUGGCAUGGCUGUUCUCUACAAGGUCCGACCAGCAAAUGACUAUGACAGAAGCAGAUAGUUACACCCAAUCAUUGGACUGAAGUCAAAACCUCCUUGGUUGAAUUUGGGGAAGGACUGAAGAAGCUGAGGGGAAAGUGACCCAUAAGAAGACCAGCAGUCUCAAAUAAUCCAGACACCAGGAAGCUCCCAGAGCCUGAGCCACCAACAGGAGCAUAUACAGGAUGGGUUAAGGUUCUUGAGACAGAUACAGCAGAGGUUUGCCCAGUGUGGCCUCAGUGGGAGAACAUGCACUUAAUCCUCAAGAGACUUGAGUCCCUGGGAAAUAGGGAGGCCUUGGGGGUAGCACCCUCUUGGAAGUCAGGAGGAAGAGAAAUGAGAUGAGGAAAUGUGGGAGGGGGAACUAAGAGGGAUGCAAUGACUGGAAUGUAAAUAAAUAACAUAAUUUUUAAAACAUUGUAAAGAAUUACAAAAUAAAUAAAAAGAAUCCAAAAAUUA